ACUGACGCUGAGAUGCGAAAGCGUGGGGAGCAAACAGGAUUAGAUACCCUGGUAGUCCACGCUGUAAACGAUGUCGAUUUGGAGUUUGGGGGCAUGACCCUUGGGCUCCGGAGCUAACGCGUUAAAUCGACCGCCUGGGGAGUACGGCCGCAAGGUUAAAACUCAAAUGAAUUGACGGGGGCCCGCACAAGCGGUGGAGCAUGUGGUUUAAUUCGAUGCAACGCGAAGAACCUUACCUGGUCUUGACAUCCAUAGAAUCUUGUAGAGAUACGAGAGUGCCUUCGGGAGCUAUGAGACAGGUGCUGCAUGGCUGUCGUCAGCUCGUGUUGUGAAAUGUUGGGUUAAGUCCCGCAACGAGCGCAACCCUUAUCCUUUGUUGCCAGCGGGUAAAGCCGGGAACUCAAAGGAGACUGCCGUUGAUAAAGCGGAGGAAGGUGGGGACGACGUCAAGUCAUCAUGGCCCUUACGACCAGGGCUACACACGUGCUACAAUGGCGUAUACAAAGGGAAGCGAAGGUGCGAACUGGAGCGGACCUCCUAAAGUACGUCUAAGUCCGGAUUGGAGUCUGCAACUCGACUCCAUGAAGUCGGAAUCGCUAGUAAUCGUGAAUCAGAAUGUCACGGUGAAUACGUUCCCGGGCCUUGUACACACCGCCCGUCACACCAUGGGAGUGGGUUGCACCAGAAGUAGAUAGCUUAACCGCAAGGGGGGCGUUUACCACGGUGUGAUUCAUGACUGGGGUGAAGUCGUAACAAGGUAACCA
This 764-nucleotide ribosomal RNA is filed under the name uncultured Enterobacteriaceae bacterium. Its description in RNAcentral is "bacterial SSU rRNA". It matches the Rfam family "Bacterial small subunit ribosomal RNA", at positions 739 to 1502 of the family's 1533-position model. The record is from RNAcentral. Lineage: Bacteria; Pseudomonadati; Pseudomonadota; Gammaproteobacteria; Enterobacterales; Enterobacteriaceae.